This is a long non-coding RNA of Ornithorhynchus anatinus (platypus), 1117 nucleotides long. RefSeq lists it as uncharacterized. The transcript is spliced from 2 exons. Lineage: Eukaryota; Metazoa; Chordata; Mammalia; Monotremata; Ornithorhynchidae. The record is from RefSeq and is a predicted model, not a curated record.
AGAGCCGGGAUUCGAACCCAUGACCUCUGACUCCAAAGCCCGUGCUCUUUCCACUGAGCCACGCUGCUUCUCCGGUCUGAUUUCUGGUGUCUCUGCCCGGUGUGUCCGCAGAUGUUCAGUCGAUGGAGUCCUGAGCCUAACCCGGGCACCCCUGCUGACUCUACUCUUUGGUUGGGGGAAGUGCGUCGGCAGCCGUCUCCGACGGAAAAAUUCAGUUACAUCGAAUGAGAAAUGAUCCUGGCAGUGGAGUGAAGUAUGGACCGGAGUGGGGAGAGACAGGAGAGCGAGGUUAAAGGCUCGGCGUAUCCCUGGACUGCCAGGCUGGACGGGGACCGAGGACACCGCUGCCCCGUAGGUCCCAGGAGGAGCUAAUGAAUCUUGGCCUCUCUUCCUCCCGACAAGCUGUGUUUUCUCGUGUGACCAGUUAGGUUUUCUUUCCCAUCGGCCCUCCUGCCGAUCUGUAAUUAAAUUCAGGGGAACCGAUCCCCGGGGGAGAAUGUGGAGAAAAGUGAUCGGCCGCGGGCCCCCGGGACAAAUAUCAUUCUGGAGAACGGGGCCUGCCCAUUCAGCAGGGUGACAGUGUGAAAAGAGGAGUAAAGAGCCCAGCUGGGAGGUGGGAGAUCUGGGUUCUAGUCCACCACCGGCCUGUUGCGUGACCUUGGACAGGUCACUUAACCCCUCUGGACCUGUUUUCUCACUGGCGAUACCUACCUCUCCCCGUCUCAAAGGGAAGCGGAGGGGUGAAAGCCCCUUGGCAUGAUACAAGCACUGGGCAAAUUCCAAGGUGUGGUUGCUCCCCAAAUGUCUACAGCACAAACAGUUGGAUCCCCUGGGAUUUCCAUAAUUAUCCAAGUCCAGAAAGUGUUGUGAACCCCCAAAAUGUCCUCACGUUUCCUCUCCAGCAAGGAUCUUGUCAUUACACCCCAACUUCAUCACUGCGAUUACCCUCUUUUUACGUUUUGUUUACGUCUCUUUCCCCCGUUAGAGUGUAAACUCCUUGUGAGCAGGGAGCGUGUCUCGGGUUUUCUGCCGUUCUCUCCCGAGAGCUCAGUGGGGUGGACCUCACCCAGCGGGCGCGCAAAUAAAUGUUAUCCGACCACUACUACUGGACAAUCCA